GAGUAGUAAGAGUUAAGAUCUUUAAACUCAAAGAAUUUGGCGGUAUUUUAUCUUAUUAGAGGAACCUGUUUAUUAAUUGAUAUUCCACAACUUAAUUUACCUUUAUGAAAUUAUUUGUAUACCGCUGUCAUGAAUCUAUUUAAAAGUUAUUUUCUUUUUUAUUAAAAGUUAUGUUAGGUCAAGGUGCAGUUUUUAAAGAAAAAAUGGGUUACUUUGUUUGAAUGGAUGAAAAUGGAUUUAUAAGUAAGAAGACAAAGAUCUUAAUGAAUAAAGAUUCUGAAAUAUG
Molecule: ribosomal RNA, 286 nt
Filed under: Cyamophila floribundae
Lineage: Eukaryota; Metazoa; Arthropoda; Insecta; Hemiptera; Psyllidae
Description: partial 12S ribosomal RNA
Source: RNAcentral